This is a long non-coding RNA of Labeo rohita (rohu), 574 nucleotides long. RefSeq lists it as uncharacterized. NCBI's taxonomy places the organism in Eukaryota, Metazoa, Chordata, Actinopteri, Cypriniformes, Cyprinidae. The record is from RefSeq and is a predicted model, not a curated record. The transcript is spliced from 3 exons.
UGGUUUCAAGAUAUAUGUGAUAUAUACGAGAAGCUUCAUUUGCUGAAGACACGGAGAGAGACAGACAGACAUCAAUACUCAUGUACAUUUCAAGGAACUGCUCUGGUGUGGUUUUAAGAUAUAUGUGUCUAUAUAAAUACCAGCAGAGAACCUUUAUUUGCUACUUCUGGAAGAGGGCUGAAGACAGAGAGAGAGAGAGAGAGACAAACAUCAAUACUCAUUGAACCGUCAAUCAAUAAAGAAACAAGAGAGCACACCAUGACAGAGACGAGAGAAACAUGCAGGGGAACUGCAGAAGAGUUUAGAAAAGAAACAAAGAAACCAGAUCAAACAGAAAAAGCAAUGAUUACAGGCUCAAAAAUACUCUUUGACAGACUUCAUCUUGAAGGCAGAAAUGAUCAUAAACUGAGAGCUGCAGAUGUUCUUCAGAUAAGCAAACAUUCAUUACAGUCCAAUGAGUCUUGUGCUGAAGAGGAGCUGAUUCAGACUUUCAUACAAAAACUACUUAUGAUGGACUACAGAGCAAGAUACAUUACUGUUAGAGAUCCCAAUGAACAAGAUCAGAUACAACAAA